UUUGUGCAUGUGACAGAGGGAGGAGAAAUAAAUGACACAUGAUUCAAGGGUUACAGUAAGACUAUGUGCAUUUGCUUCGGGACACAACAGCAUGGCAUAAAUGAGUGCAGUGUGUUUGUAUGACAUGGAGGCACAUGACUAUGCACACCACUGGGCAGCUCUGUAAAGAGUUUCAACUCAAGUAAUGUCACCUUGUGAAGAGGCAGAACUCCAGAGUCAUCUAAUGAAGCUCUGAAAUCCACUGCUGCCUACUGGGGGACCAAGAUUUCAAGACAUUAAAGUUAAAAUAAUUCCCAGAGUCCUGUUGGAAACACAGAUGGCAUGUUCACCAGCUGCAUCGCUAUUGCUCUGACAUGUAUCCACAGUGGCUCUCAGCAAGUUCAGACAAGAAACGGGAAGACUGAUAUCACUUUCUUGCUGUGAGAUCCAAGUCCUAGCUGGGUCAGAAAUCACAUGGUGUAUUAAGGGCUUAAGAUUGAUUCUGGAGAUUUAAACUCCUGUUUUGACCAUACACCAUGAAUGGAAAUGGGCUACAGAAAAAAUAAGUUCGACGGAUCUGGGCCAUGGAGUAAGAGAAGACCGUAAUCAAGGAAAAAAGAAUGAAUUAAAGUGAUAGAUGUGCUUUUAGCAUCCUGUCAAGUAAGUUACACCAUUAGUUUGUUUCUGGAAUCUGACAAAAAAUGACAAUAUUAGGUAUUUUAUGCUAGAGGACAGUCUUUGCAGGGGGCUGUGUAACUCCAUUCAUGGAUACAAUUUCUGUGUUAAAAGGCCAGGAAUAAUCUGCUCCAUUAAAGAAUGGAAGGAAAUCCACUCUCUUCAGGUUGGUUAGCAGUCCCUUUUUCUUCUUUCAGAUGUAGCCCAGAUCUUACUGUAAACUGACUAUUAAGUAAGAACUCUGGUGUCUAUUACCAAUACCUGAAAACUUCAACAUGUUUUCAUCUCUUUAUAGCCAAUACAACAUUUUUUUAUCACUGGGAGUAAAAAGUAAUAAAUACAAAGUAAUGUCCAAACCAGUUCCCAGCCUUCAGAAGACUGUACAACGCACAGAUGGCAUCCUAUACUCAGGUAAUAUAUUUCACUGGAUGAUAGAUGAAGAGAGAUUUCUUAUGGCAUGUAGGGAUGCCAUUUUAACAUCAAAUACAUUCCAACUCCCUUAUCUAAUCUAAUGAGCCAUUUAACAGUUUAUCUAUCAGAUCAAGUCUUUGAAUCAGUUUUGUGCCAUGGGAGUAAAACAUG
Long non-coding RNA from Pseudopipra pipra, 1236 nucleotides. RefSeq lists it as uncharacterized. The transcript has 3 exons. NCBI's taxonomy places the organism in Eukaryota, Metazoa, Chordata, Aves, Passeriformes, Pipridae. The record is from RefSeq and is a predicted model, not a curated record.